CCCUUAGAUGUUCUGGGCCGCACGCGUGCUACACUGACCGGCGCAACAAGCUUUUUUCCUUGGCUCGACAGGCCUGGGUAAUCUUCGAACGCCGGUCGUGAUGGGGAUAGAUCCUUGCAAUUUUUGAUCUUCAACGAGGAAUUCCUAGUAAAUGCGAGUCAUCAUCUCGCGUUGAUUACGUCCCUGCCCUUUGUACACACCGCCCGCCGCACCUACCGAUUGAAUGGUCCGGUGAAGCCUCCGGAUUGGCGCGCACCUCGGUGCCGCCGAGAAGUUGGCUAAACCUUACCAUUUAGAGGAAGGUGAANUCGUAGCA
RNAcentral lists this ribosomal RNA (316 nucleotides) under uncultured eukaryote. RNAcentral describes it as "partial 18S ribosomal RNA". It matches the Rfam family "Eukaryotic small subunit ribosomal RNA", at positions 1470 to 1796 of the family's 1831-position model. The record is from RNAcentral.